RNAcentral lists this ribosomal RNA (468 nucleotides) under uncultured bacterium. Its description in RNAcentral is "partial 16S ribosomal RNA". It matches the Rfam family "Bacterial small subunit ribosomal RNA", at positions 28 to 507 of the family's 1533-position model. The record is from RNAcentral.
GACGAACGCUGGCGGCGUGCUUAACACAUGCAAGUCGAACGGAAAGGCCCUGCUUUUGUGGGGUGCUCGAGUGGCGAACGGGUGAGUAACACGUGAGUAACCUGCCCUUGACUUUGGGAUAACUUCAGGAAACUGGGGCUAAUACCGGAUAGGAGCUCCUGCUGCAUGGUGGGGGUUGGAAAGUUUCGGCGGUUGGGGAUGGACUCGCGGCUUAUCAGCUUGUUGGUGGGGUAGUGGCUUACCAAGGCUUUGACGGGUAGCCGGCCUGAGAGGGUGACCGGGCACAAUGGGACUGAGAGACGGCCCAGACUCCAACGGGAGGCAGCAGUGGGGAAUAUGGCACAGUGGGCGGAAGCCUGAUACAGCGACGCCGCGUGCGGGAUGACGGCCUUCGGGUUGUAAACCGCUGUCGCCGGUGACGAAGCGUGAGUGACGGUAAUGGGUAAAGAAGCACCGGCUAACUACGUG